GGGUUGUGAGGUUAAGCGACUAAGCGUACACGGUGGAUGCCCUGGCAGUCAGAGGCGAUGAAGGGCGUGCUAAUCUGCGAUAAGCGCCGGUAAGGUGAUAUGAACCGUUAUAACCGGCGAUACCCGAAUGGGGAAACCCAGUGUGAUUCGUCACACUAUCAUUAACUGAAUCCAUAGGUUAAUGAGGCGAACCGGGGGAACUGAAACAUCUAAGUACCCCGAGGAAAAGAAAUCAACCGAGAUUCCCCCAGUAGCGGCGAGCGAACGGGGAGGAGCCCAGAGCCUGAAUCAGCAUGUGUGUUAGUGGAAGCGUCUGGAAAGGCGCGCGAUACAGGGUGACAGCCCCGUACACAAAAGCGCAUGUGCUGUGAGCUCGAUGAGUAGGGCGGGACACGUGGUAUCCUGUCUGAAUAUGGGGGGACCAUCCUCCAAGGCUAAAUACUCCUGACUGACCGAUAGUGAACCAGUACCGUGAGGGAAAGGCGAAAAGAACCCCGGCGAGGGGAGUGAAAAAGAACCUGAAACCGUGUACGUACAAGCAGUGGGAGCACAGGUUUACCUGUGUGACUGCGUACCUUUUGUAUAAUGGGUCAGCGACUUAUAUUCUGUAGCAAGGUUAACCGAAUAGGGGAGCCGGAGGGAAACCGAGUCUUAAUUGGGCGUUAAGUUGCAGGGUAUAGACCCGAAACCCGGUGAUCUAGCCAUGGGCAGGUUGAAGGUUGGGUAACACUAACUGGAGGACCGAACCGACUAAUGUUGAAAAAUUAGCGGAUGACCUGUGGCUGGGGGUGAAAGGCCAAUCAAACCGGGAGAUAGCUGGUUCUCCCCGAAAGCUAUUUAGGUAGCGCCUCGUGAAUUCAUCUCCGGGGGUAGAGCACUGUUUCGGCUAGGGGGCCAUCCCGGCUUACCAACCCGAUGCAAACUGCGAAUACCGGAGAAUGUUAUCACGGGAGACACACGGCGGGUGCUAACGUCCGUCGUGAAGAGGGAAACAACCCAGACCGCCAGCUAAGGUCCCAAAGUCAUGGUUAAGUGGGAAACGAUGUGGGAAGGCCCAGACAGCCAGGAUGUUGGCUUAGAAGCAGCCAUCAUUUAAAGAAAGCGUAAUAGCUCACUGGUCGAGUCGGCCUGCGCGGAAGAUGUAACGGGGCUAAACCAUGCACCGAAGCUGCGGCAGCGACACUGUGUGUUGUUGGGUAGGGGAGCGUUCUGUAAGCCUGUGAAGGUGUGUCGUGAGGCAUGCUGGAGGUAUCAGAAGUGCGAAUGCUGACAUAAGUAACGAUAAAGCGGGUGAAAAGCCCGCUCGCCGGAAGACCAAGGGUUCCUGUCCAACGUUAAUCGGGGCAGGGUGAGUCGACCCCUAAGGCGAGGCCGAAAGGCGUAGUCGAUGGGAAACGGGUUAAUAUUCCCGUACUUGGUGUUACUGCGAAGGGGGGACGGAGAAGGCUAUGUUGGCCGGGCGACGGUUGUCCCGGUUUAAGCGUGUAGGUGUGUGUUCCAGGUAAAUCCGGUUCACUUUAACACUGAGGCGUGACGACGAGGCACUACGGUGCUGAAGCAACAAAUGCCCUGCUUCCAGGAAAAGCCUCUAAGCAUCAGGUAACAUCAAAUCGUACCCCAAACCGACACAGGUGGUCAGGUAGAGAAUACCAAGGCGCUUGAGAGAACUCGGGUGAAGGAACUAGGCAAAAUGGUGCCGUAA
Molecule: ribosomal RNA, 1702 nt
Filed under: Salmonella enterica subsp. enterica serovar Enteritidis
Lineage: Bacteria; Pseudomonadati; Pseudomonadota; Gammaproteobacteria; Enterobacterales; Enterobacteriaceae
Description: partial 23S ribosomal RNA
Rfam family: Bacterial large subunit ribosomal RNA
Source: RNAcentral